This 73-nucleotide transfer RNA is filed under the name Vicugna pacos (alpaca). Its description in RNAcentral is "tRNA-Ala (AGC) (tRNA-Ala-AGC-546-1)". It matches the Rfam family "tRNA". From Rfam's summary of the family: Transfer RNA (tRNA) molecules are approximately 80 nucleotides in length. Their secondary structure includes four short double-helical elements and three loops (D, anti-codon, and T loops). Further hydrogen bonds mediate the characteristic L-shaped molecular structure. tRNAs have two regions of fundamental functional importance: the anti-codon, which is responsible for specific mRNA codon recognition, and the 3' end, to which the tRNAs corresponding amino acid is attached (by aminoacyl-tRNA synthetases). tRNAs cope with the degeneracy of the genetic code in two manners: having more than one tRNA (with a specific anti-codon) for a particular amino acid; and 'wobble' base-pairing, i.e. permitting non-standard base-pairing at the 3rd anti-codon position. The record is from RNAcentral. Lineage: Eukaryota; Metazoa; Chordata; Mammalia; Artiodactyla; Camelidae.
GGAGGAUAUAGCUCAGUGGUAGAGUGCAUGCUUAGCAUGCAUGAGGUCCUGGGUUCAAUCCCCAGUACUUCCA